GACGAACGCUGGCGGCGUGCUUAACACAUGCAAGUCGAGCGGUAAGGCCCUUUCGGGGGUACACGAGCGGCGAACGGGUGAGUAACACGUGGGUGACCUGCCCUCAGCUCUGGGAUAAGCCUGGGAAACUGGGUCUAAUACCGGAUAUGACUCCAUGACGCAUGUUGUGGGGUGGAAAGCCUUGUGCGGCUGAGGAUGGGCCCGCGGCCUAUCAGCUUGUUGGUGGGGUGANGGCCUACCAAGGCGACGACGGGUAGCCGGCCUGAGAGGGCGACCGGCCACACUGGGACUGAGACACGGCCCAGACUCCUACGGGAGGCAGCAGUGGGGAAUCUUGCGCAAUGGGACGAAAGCCUGACGCAGCGACGCCGCGUGA
Molecule: ribosomal RNA, 376 nt
Filed under: uncultured bacterium
Lineage: Bacteria
Description: bacterial SSU rRNA
Rfam family: Bacterial small subunit ribosomal RNA
Source: RNAcentral